CAGGCGAUUGCUAGGCUUUUUACAUGUAAUUUUUAUUAGCGCGCUAACCAGUAAUAACCGCCGGCGUCGUUUAGUGACCCGGACAUAGAUGAAAGCCAACCGGAAAUAGAAUGUUGGCACCCAAUCAGGCUUUCGAUGAUGUAACAUCACAGCAGAAACCCAAGACCAGCUCAGAGAAAGUAAAGCUUCCAGCAGAUCUGAAGGGAUGUCCCAAGGAACAUCAUGGUAGAGACUCCAGGAAGCUGACACCUGGCCAGUACUCCAGCCACCAGCGAAAUCGAAAGUAAUCUACAUCACACUUGCAGCCUGCCUCCAAACUGCCAGCAUGAAUGUGAUGUAUGUGUGUCACUCAGCUCUGAUACAAGUGAAAUUCUCCUCCGGUGGUAACUGUGAUGCUACUCAAUGAACUAUAACAAGAGCUCUAAAUGCGUCUCGUAUAGCAUACCACCGUGAUUUGCAAAAGUGGGAAUAAAUCAAAGCAUUGAAGAGAUGCCACAUUGAGCCAGAAGCUAAAUGUUACAUCUUGUUGCAUGAGGUAAAGGAGAACAGAUCCUGUUUUUCUGGCAGCACAGUAUCUUUGUGCUUGUUACUUCAGAUCCAGGCCCAUUAAAACAAUCAUUCAGAAUCUACAGGAGAUUGUCACCACUUUCUUUCAUGCAAUGGCAGCUGGUAUUGGUGCUCAUACACAUUCUUCAUUCCCUUCAAGAUUUUUAACACAAAAAAAGAAGCUUAAUUUAUAUUAAAAAAAAA
Pelodiscus sinensis (Chinese soft-shelled turtle) is the source of this 750-nucleotide long non-coding RNA. RefSeq lists it as uncharacterized. Lineage: Eukaryota; Metazoa; Chordata; Testudines; Trionychidae. The record is from RefSeq and is a predicted model, not a curated record.